Bos taurus (domestic cattle) is the source of this 2345-nucleotide long non-coding RNA. The record is from Ensembl. NCBI's taxonomy places the organism in Eukaryota, Metazoa, Chordata, Mammalia, Artiodactyla, Bovidae.
GCGGGGGCGGGGGCGGGGCCCGGGCCCUCUGGGCACUGAGACUGUGCCACCGCUGCCUCCUUCCAGGGUGCAGGGUCUGCACGGAGCUGCUCUGUCUGCCUGUGGGCCACAUGCUGCCACUCAUCCGGGCAAAGGAGCUUCUAGCCCCGUGUCUCCAUCAGUCAACCUGGGGUCUGACCUAGCACUCCACAGGGGCCCCCGCACCCAAGGUGGCAGGGCUUGCCUCUCUGGAGGCGGCCAGGAGCCACACUGCAGAAGCUUGGGCCACAGGGGCUCCCCAAACACCCACCCUCUGCCCCGGGCAGUGCUGGCCAUCAACUUAAGGUGAGGGCUGUGCAUGGCUGGAGGAAGCAGGCUGGACACGGGUCCCUGCUCUGCAGUGUCCUUGGCACACCCCCUACAGGCACCCCAGCUCUUUGACGGGGGUCAGCAGACCCCAGCUCGACGGGGGCCCGCCACGACUGCAGAGGAGGAAAGAGCACAAGUGCGGGGCAGCCUUGGAGGCACUUGCAUCUGAGCCGCCACACCUGCCUAGGGGACAGCCGGACAGUGUGGUGUCACCUGACCGCUGUGUGCCUGCACACCUUCAGCACAAGUGCCAGGGUCUGCCUGAGCGAGCCGAGGCCGACACCCACAGGGCCACUGUCCUGCGAAGGGACCGCCGCCACCUCGCUGCGCCCGCCCAGCGGCCCCGAGCACAGGGCGCCUGGGACACUCCUGCAGCGGGCCUGCCGUCCUCUGGCGGCGCGGGGCUGCCCUUCUGUCUUCACACGUCCACACUGUCGCCAGGCUCUACCCUCCACAGCCCGAGGGGAGGCCUUGAAACCACGCAUUUCGGUACCCUGAUAGAAGACGGGACGGAAACCCAGGAGGGAAGCGAACUCUCAGUCUCUCGAGAGCAGCAAGUUCCUCUGUAAAGGGAAGGCCUGCCCUUCCCUGAGCACACGGUGGCCCGGACACACAGUGCCCGCCCCUCCAGGCCCCUCAGGCGGCUCCCUGCUCCUCUGUGUGCAGAAGUGGGACGUGCAGAGCAAGCGGUGUCCACAGGGCUCGGGGUCACUGCAAUGGAUUUCUGUGUGGGUGGGUUUUUUCCUUAUACAAGCACCGCUUUUUAAGACAAGAAGAAACAGCUUGGGUACGACACAGUUCCAACCAACAUGACAAGGAAACAUUUUUACUGACUGACCUACCUUUUAUAAAGCCUGAGUCAUUUAAUAGGUGGUUCUGUUUCUUCCUGAAAGGUCUCAGUAAUACCUGUUCCUCGUUCUUGGGAAAGUCACUCAAAGUCUUGAGGGAAAACCAAGACUGCACCCAAGAGGGUGCAGGAGCGCCUCUCUGCCCAGGCUGUGCACGGCAGGCCGCGCCGGCAGCCGCUGCCUCAGGGUCUGUCGGCACUGCGGCUGCGUGGAGGCCACGCGCUCUGGGCCUCGCGUGGCGGCUUCACACUGCCGCCCCUCCACCACACGGACCCGCGGGCCCGGGGCUGAGCCUCCUGCCAUGCUGCCUGUCCGCCAGAUGUCCCUGCCGCCCACCCUUACCUCUCCACAGCGAGCCGCAACACACGUCUGCGUUUUAUUUCAUAGGAAGUUGGGAACAGAGUACAAAGAACACAAAACUCAUUCUUGUUUAUGUUUGUAUCACAGCCAAUUGAUUUUAGGAUUUAACCUUAGUAACAACGUUAUCUACUGACUGUUAGGAUUCAAAACCAGUUAAGUGAUAGGAGUUUUCCUAAGUAGUAUUUAUAAAAUAUAAGGUUCCUCAAAGAUUUUCCUCACAGACACAGUUCCAUCAGGGUGACUGUCUCAACCCAGACUCUAGACAACACAUGCUGUGCCUGACUGCUGGGCCCAGGCAGUCCCCAGACAGAAUGGGGACACGGAGACAGUGGCUGCCGCUGCGACACGUCUGUGGAUGAUCCCUGGCGGCAACCAUGCCUACCCCCACCGGCUGUUCAUUCAGGGGGCACGUGCUCAGAGAACGAGCCUGCAUCGCUCUGUGCUGAUGCUAAAAGAGAAUGCUCAUCAGACAGGGCUGCACUCAGACCCCGAGAGCCCGCCCUUGGAAGGCCCAACCCUCGUGGGGGCAGCAGGGGCCCCAGGAAAAGAAGAGCCCGGUCAGCUUGCUGCUCUCUGACAAUUCAAAACUUUUACCAUUUAGUUUGAGGCUCCUUUUUAAAAACAAAAUUUCUGAUCAGGUGUUCGCUAAAACUGAAGUGUUACUUUGUCAAAAUAUUUAUUCCUUUGUGUGACAUGCUAGAUUCCCAUGGAUGUAGCUGAUCAUUUCUACUGUAAAUAUUACCUAACUUUACAUAAACGAUGUCAUAAUAAACUAUUUUUGCAUCACCC